CCUACGGGAGGCAGCAGUGAGGAAUAUUGGUCAAUGGCCGGAAGGCUGAACCAGCCAUGCCGCGUGAAGGUCAGUGCCCUAUGGGCGUUAAACUUCUUUUGUGCGGGAGCAAUAAUGGUCACGUGUGGCCAGACGAGAGUACCGUACGAAUAAGCAUCGGCUAACUCCGUGCCAGCAGCCGCGGUAAUACGGGGGAUGCCAGCGUUAUCCGGAUUUAUUGGGUUUAAAGGGUGCGUACGCUGUGAGGUAAGUCAGCGGUGAAAUGCCCCCGCUCAACGGGGUGAAGUUCCAUUGAUACUGCCUUGCUGGAAUGCGGAUGCCGUGGGAGGAAUGUGUGGUGUAGCGGUGAAAGGCAUAGAUAUCACACAGAACACCGAUUGCGAAGGCAUCUCACGAAUCCGCGAUUGACGCUGAUGCACGAAAGCGUGGGUAUCAAACAGGAUUAGAUACCCGAGUAGUC
This 460-nucleotide ribosomal RNA is filed under the name uncultured bacterium. RNAcentral describes it as "partial 16S ribosomal RNA". It matches the Rfam family "Bacterial small subunit ribosomal RNA", at positions 338 to 795 of the family's 1533-position model. The record is from RNAcentral.